Long non-coding RNA from Brassica napus (rape), 1172 nucleotides. RefSeq lists it as uncharacterized. The record is from RefSeq and is a predicted model, not a curated record. The transcript is spliced from 3 exons. Lineage: Eukaryota; Viridiplantae; Streptophyta; Magnoliopsida; Brassicales; Brassicaceae.
AUUGAAAAGCCCUAGCCGUAAGAAACCAUCUCCAUCUUCACGAUCUCUCACUCUUUGGUUGCAGCCAUGUAAGAGGAGCUCUGCCAUUGUUGAUGCAUCACCACCGUAUCUCUUCUCUGUUGUUAAUGGCUUACGAUCUCUAUGAAUCAAUCUCCACCGAAGAACACAGACGUAAUCACCAUAUUGGAGCUGGUUGGCUACGUUACGAGACGGAGAGAGAACGUGACCGUAAGCCGGCGCCACCGCCAUGAUAAUCACCAACCACCACGGAGUUGUGCCCCUGUGAACCUAAACCCACCAGACGUGUGACCUAUAGCACCAGAGAUACUUUUGCGCAGCAGAGAUUUCUUCAUGUCUUAAGCUGAGGAGAAGAGAUGGAUACAUCAGACCCAUGGCUGAGGAGUGGUUUUGCGAGAGGUUUCUAGUACGAUCCAGGGGGUUCUAGGCAACGAGUCAUGGCUCUUUGGAUAGAUAUCGUUACCAGGAAUCUGUAGAAACAAACGGAAUCAAGAUCGGAGUUGUACAGCAAAAGUUAUUGACAUGCUUCUUGGACAAGAAUAAACUUAAGCUGUUGGAAUGCUGAAACAGUUCCGACCAGUGUCAGAGUAAAGGCGAAACGGUCAACCUUAACAAAAGCUUUCAGUCUGGGAAUUUUACAGUAAGUAGUUAACUAUUUCAGUUAUCAUCUCCAACAAAAGGAGUGUCAUUCCAAGUUAUUUUCUGAGAGUUAAGCUUGUUUUCGUGAGAGGUGUUGGUGCAGUCUACGUUUGCGACCAGUCUGGAGACGAAGCUAAUUUGAUUAAUCAGAUGGUGUCCGAUCGGAGUAAACCCGGUGGCUACGGAUAGAGGACAUCUAGGGCUACAUUCUUACCGGAGGGAUUGAAAAGUAACGACUUUCAGAGUUGCUGUGAUAGAGCCAUCAAGGUCUACUCUGUGUUUCUCAGGUUUUCUUUAGAACCCGUGGCAAAGGUGAGACUGACGAGCGGGAGUGAUUGCUAUCGGAUUGGUGCUUUGGGAGUUCUAUUUCUUUUAUUUUCAGACUUUCGAUUUUUUUAUCUUAUCGAUAUUUCGGGAUUUAUCUCUUUUAUUGCAUUUAUGGUUAUUUAUUAGAUUUAUGACUUCAGAGUUGACUUUUGAGAAGUAAUAAAUGGAGAUUUCAGACUUUUUAUUUA